GCAGGAGUGGGGAGGAGGCCGGCUCUCUGUCUGUCCUGGGGCCAUGCUCACAUGUCUGCUGCCCAGUGUGGGCCGUUCUGAUACUCAGAGAUCUGGGGGUUUGGGGAGAGGCAACAAGCCCGUGCAUCUAGGAGGGCGCAGAGAAAAGCUGCCUCCAGCCCGGAGGCUCCUCUCUGCUCUUGCCUCUUUCAAGGCCCUCCCUUUUGAUGACCUGUAUUUUCAUCUCUCCUCCCUCCCCUUCUGCUUCCCCCAGCCUCCUCCCAAGCCUCCCACGCCGGGCAGUCUCCAUUCCCCUCGGCUGUUCCUGCCCAUCUCUACCCUGCAAGUGUGAGUGUGCGGCUGCACUAGCUGCUCCCUGACCGGGGGCCUCUGAUGGGGUUUGGCCAGUGGGAGGCACCAGCAGGAGAUCAGAGGGUAGGGGGACAACGGAUGGGGUGGAUCCGGGCCUGCUAACACCAAAGGCCCUGGCAGCAACUGCUCAGCUGGCUCCUCCACACCCACUGAUACGGUUUGGCUGUGUCCCCACCCAAAUCUCAUCUUGAAUUAUAGCUCCCAUAUCUCCCACAUGUUGUGGGAGGGACCUAGUGGGACAUAAUUGAAUCAUGGGGCGGUUUCCCCCAUACUGUUCUCGUGGUAGGGAAUAGGUCUCAUGAGAGCUGAUGAUUUGAUAAGGGGAAACCUCUUGUGCUUGGCUGUCAUUCUCUCGACUGCUGCUGUGUGAGACGUGCCUUUCACCUCCUGCCAUGAUUCUAAGGACUCCCCGGCCACGUGGAACUGCUUCCAGGGCUGUGGGGCCAAAUGUGCCCUCUCCUGCCCUCAUGGCAGCCUCAGUUCCUGAGUUCUCAUCAUUUCUUCCUUGCUACAAUCAGAACUGAGUCUAGCACCCUUCAGGACAAAUCCAGAUCCCCAGGAGAGACAGCCUGAUGAGUUCAGCUUGGAAAGGGUCUGUUCCUGUCCUAUCAGCUGUGGCCAGCGUGCCAGGGUCACGUACCAGUGCGACUGCCACAGCACGGCCCAUCUGUCCAGGAGUAGUUCUCAGUCAACGGGCUCCAGCUGGGACUCAGGCUGAAUAGAUGCCCACAAGGAUGUCUGCUACCACAUGUAAAGUGCCCCAAAGCAGGACAAGUGCUCAGCAAGUGUGGCCCGUAUGAUUAAGGGAAUUCUGUGUCUGUCUGAGAAGAAAGUGGCGAUGAGCAAUAACAAGGCCUGUCGUCCAUCUGGAAGAACUCCAGCCACCCCCCAAACUUUCAGGUGCAUAGAACCACCUGGACAUAAGACACAAACAUUGUUACCCCAAAAAGGAAAAAAAUUAUUUGGACUAUAUUAAAAUAAAAUAUUUGUUUAUCAAAAUACAUCAUUAAGAGUAAAAAGGCAAGACAGCAAGUUGAAGAAGAUAUUUGCAAUACACAUAGCCAGGAAAGGACAAGAACCCAGAAUAUAUAAAGAACUCCUAUAAAUCAGUAAGAAAAAGACAAUCUGAUUAAAACAUUGGCAAAAGAUCUGAAGAGGCACUUCACAAAAGAGGAUGCCCAAAUGGCCAAUAAACAUAAGAAAAUGUGCUCAACAUCAUUAGUCAUCAGGGAAAUGCAAGUUGAAGCAUAAAAUGGUAUCACUCCACACCCACAAGCAUGGCUGGGAUGAAAAGAGAGAUGCGCCCAGUGCUGACGAGGAUGUGCAUCAACUGGAACUCUCAGACACUGCAGGUGGGUGUCUAAAUUGGUACAGCCACUUUGGAAAAUUGUUCAGCUGUAUUUGUUAAACCUGAACACAAGCAAAUCCUAUCUGUGAUGCCACAAUUCUGCUGAUCGACAUAUCUCCAUCAGAAAUGUAUACAAAUGUCCACAGAGAUACAUGUCAUCGAAUUUUCAUGGCAGCCCUCUUUUGAUAUCCCAAAGCUGGAAACAACCCAAUGCCCAUCAACAGCAGAAUGCAUACAAAUUGUGGUACAAUCAUAGGCUGGAAUGCUACUCAGCAUUGAGAAUAAACAAACCACAACUGCAUAUAAUGGUAUGAAUGAGUCUCACAAAUAAUGUCAAGUAAAAAAGAGCCAGACACAGGUGUCUGUAUAAUUCUAUACACGUGAAAUUCAAAUGCAGGCAAAACAGAACUGAGCUGUCAGGAGUCAGGAUACUGGCCUUGUUUGGACAGCUUAGUAACCGGAAGGGACAUGAGGGGUUUGUGAGGGCCUGUAAAUAUUCUAUUUCUCUACCUGGGUAGACAUUAAGCAGAUGUGGAGUUUGUGAAAACGCAUGGAGCAAUUCACCUAUUACUUCUACACUUUUCUACAUUUAUGUACCCACUAAUAUCAUUUUUUGGGGAAAAAAAAAACCCAG
This 2333-nucleotide long non-coding RNA is filed under the name Homo sapiens (human). Its description in RNAcentral is "HSALNT0105263". The record is from RNAcentral. Lineage: Eukaryota; Metazoa; Chordata; Mammalia; Primates; Hominidae.